RNAcentral lists this small nuclear RNA (317 nucleotides) under Microcebus murinus (gray mouse lemur). Its description in RNAcentral is "7SK RNA (ENSMICG00000023481.3)". It matches the Rfam family "7SK RNA". From Rfam's summary of the family: 7SK was discovered as an abundant small nuclear RNA in the mid-70s but a possible function has only recently been suggested. Two independent studies have found that 7SK RNA binds the CDK9/cyclin T complex (known as elongation factor P-TEFb). Lineage: Eukaryota; Metazoa; Chordata; Mammalia; Primates; Cheirogaleidae. The record is from RNAcentral.
GGAUAUGAGGGUGAUCUGGCUGUGACCUCUGUCACCCCACUCGUUGCCAGGAUUGAUUCAGCUGAUCUGGCUGGCUAGGCAGUGUCCCCUGCCUCCCUCCCUCUCCAUGUGCAUCCCUCUCAUAGCUGUGCACUCAGUCAAAGAAGAAGGGACCUUCCCAGAUAGAGGAGGACCAUUCUUUGGUCAAGGGUAUAUGAGUAGCUGUGUACCUCUGCUAGAACCUCCAAAUAAGGUCUCGAGAAGAAAAGAAGAUUAAAAAAAUAAUAAACAGUGCAUCCAUUAGUAAGCUAUGGGACAAUGUGAAAUGGUCUAAAAUA